GGCUAAAAUUACUCCCAUUUCUCCAGACACCAGCACUGACCCGAUUCGCUGUGGAAGACUAGUGAUUUUGUUGU
Molecule: microRNA precursor, 74 nt
Filed under: Ictalurus punctatus (channel catfish)
Lineage: Eukaryota; Metazoa; Chordata; Actinopteri; Siluriformes; Ictaluridae
Description: microRNA ipu-mir-7a precursor (ipu-mir-7a-5)
Gene: ipu-mir-7a-5
Source: miRBase by way of RNAcentral